Molecule: small nuclear RNA, 308 nt
Filed under: Castor canadensis (American beaver)
Lineage: Eukaryota; Metazoa; Chordata; Mammalia; Rodentia; Castoridae
Description: 7SK RNA (ENSCCNG00000020662.1)
Rfam family: 7SK RNA
About the family: 7SK was discovered as an abundant small nuclear RNA in the mid-70s but a possible function has only recently been suggested.
Source: Rfam by way of RNAcentral
GGAUGUGAGGGCGAUCUGGCUGCAACAUCUGCCACCUCAUCGAUCGUCAGGGUUGAUUUGACUGAUCUGGCUGGCUAGGCGGGUGUCCCCUUCCUCCCUCACCGCUCCACGUGCGUCCCUCCCGAGGCUGCGUGCUGGGUUGAAGAGGACGACCAUCCCCGGUAGAGGACCAUUCUUCAGUCAAGGGAUACAAGUAGCUGCGCUUCCCUGCUAGAACCUCCAAACAAGCUCUCAAGACUGGUUGGCAGGGUUGUGGAUGUGUGAUAUACAUUGUUAAAAUACUUGGAGUGUGUCAAUAGUUUUGAUAU